GAAUUAAGUAAGAACGUUGGAGAGAGAAGAGAGAUGAGUUCAUUUAUGUCAAAUACUUUGAAAACCCUAAAGCUCCAUCAGAGUGCUGGAAUUAAGUAAGAACGUUGGGGAGUGACGAGAGAUGAG
Lutra lutra (Eurasian river otter) is the source of this 126-nucleotide long non-coding RNA. RefSeq lists it as uncharacterized. Lineage: Eukaryota; Metazoa; Chordata; Mammalia; Carnivora; Mustelidae. The record is from RefSeq and is a predicted model, not a curated record. The transcript has 4 exons.